RNAcentral lists this transfer RNA (83 nucleotides) under bacterium. RNAcentral describes it as "tRNA-Leu". It matches the Rfam family "tRNA". From Rfam's summary of the family: Transfer RNA (tRNA) molecules are approximately 80 nucleotides in length. Their secondary structure includes four short double-helical elements and three loops (D, anti-codon, and T loops). The record is from RNAcentral.
GCCGCGGUGGCGGAAUGGUAUACGCAGAGGACUUAAAAUCCUCGGACCGUCAGGUCUUGCGAGUUCGAGUCUCGCCCGCGGCA